ACAACAGACGGAAACGACUGCUAAUACCGAAUAAGUUCCAAGAGCCGCAUGGCCCAUGGAAGAAAAGGUGGCCUCUACCUGUAAGCUAUCGCCUGAAGAGGGGUUUGCGUCUGAUUAGCUGGUUGGAGGGGUAACGGCCCACCAAGGCGACGAUCAGUAGCCGGUCUGAGAGGAUGAACGGCCACACUGGAACUGAGACACGGUCCAGACUCCUACGGGAGGCAGCAGUGGGGAAUCUUCCGCAAUGGGCGAAAGCCUGACGGAGCAACGCCGCGUGAGUGAUGACGGCCUUCGGGUUGUAAAACUCUGUGAUCCGGGACGAAAAGGCAGAGUGCGAAGAACAAACUGCAUUGACGGUACCGGAAAAGCAAGCCACGGCUAACUACGUGCCAGCAGCCGCGGUAAUACGUAGGUGGCAAGCGUUGUCCGGAAUUAUUGGGCGUAAAGCGCGCGCAGGCGGCUUCCCAAGUCCCUCUUAAAAGUGCGGGGCUUAACCCCGUGAUGGGAAGGAAACUGGGAAGCUGGAGUAUCGGAGAGGAAAGUGGAAUUCCUAGUGUAGCGGUGAAAUGCGUAGAGAUUAGGAAGAACACCGGUGGCGAAGGCGACUUUCUGGACGAAAACUGACGCUGAGGCGCGAAAGCGUGGGGAGCAAACAGGAUUAGAUACCCUGGUAGUCCACGCCGUAAAC
This 688-nucleotide ribosomal RNA is filed under the name uncultured bacterium. RNAcentral's name for it is "bacterial SSU rRNA". It matches the Rfam family "Bacterial small subunit ribosomal RNA", at positions 143 to 807 of the family's 1533-position model. The record is from RNAcentral.